Molecule: long non-coding RNA, 724 nt
Filed under: Vigna radiata
Lineage: Eukaryota; Viridiplantae; Streptophyta; Magnoliopsida; Fabales; Fabaceae
Description: long non-coding RNA (VRAD_LNC017626)
Source: RNAcentral
GCAGAUAAGGAAGGAGAAUUGGUUCAACAACACCCUGAUGUGGAAAGUGACAAAGCAAAAGCUGGCACACCAAUGAAAUUUCAAAAUAGGUUAUUGGUUGUCAAGACUAUCAAAGUAGACAGAGCACGCUCUUGAGAUUGAGAAUCCUUAGAGUUGGUUACAAGGAAAUUUUCGAGAUUUUUGUUGGUGUCAUGAAGGAAGGAAGAACGCCACCAUAGAAUAUCAACACCUACUGAUGGGUGUUUGGGCUUUACCGGGUCAUGCUAAUGAUGUUAAAGAAGCACUUGCUGGGAGGCAACCCAAUUUCUAACUUUUUCUUUUUAAUUACUUGUGUGAUUUGGAUUUGAUUUUUCUUUGUGUGUUUAAGUUUUUUCAGUUAUAUGCUGCUUCUGAUGGCAAUGAUGAUAACAUUUACUGAUGGAUGUCACUUUCAGCAUUUACUGAUGAAUGCUACUGGGAUAACAUCUAUUGAGGGAUGCUAUAAGAUUUAGGUAUCUACUGAAGGAUACAGGGAAGCACACCUACUGUACUUAGGGUAUGUACUUAGGGUACUUGCUACACUACUUACCACUACUACAAUACACCCUACUUCUACCCUUGCAGUACACUCAACUCCUACCCCUGCAGUACACCCUUCUCCUACCCCUACAGUAGACCCUCUUCCUCCUGUAGUGAUUAUAACCCCCACUCUUCCCCCCAUGCUUAUUACCCCCACUCCUCCCCC